AACGAACGCUGGCGGCAGGCUUAACACAUGCAAGUCGAACGGUCUCUUCGGAGGCAGUGGCAGACGGGUGAGUAACGCGUGGGAAUCUACCUGGCUCUACGGAACAACUCAGGGAAACUUGAGCUAAUACCGUAUACGCCCUUCGGGGGAAAGAUUUAUCGGAGUUGGAUGAGCCCGCGUCUGAUUAGCUAGUUGGUGGGGUAAUGGCCUACCAAGGCGACGAUCAGUAGCUGGUCUGAGAGGAUGAUCAGCCACACUGGGACUGAGACACGGCCCAGACUCCUACGGGAGGCAGCAGUGGGGAAUAUUGGACAAUGGGCGCAAGCCUGAUCCAGCCAUGCCGCGUGAGUGAUGAAGGCCCUAGGGUUGUAAAGCUCUUUCACCGGUGAAGAUAAUGACGGUAGCCGGAGAAGAAGCCCCGGCUAACUUCG
Molecule: ribosomal RNA, 431 nt
Filed under: uncultured Nitratireductor sp.
Lineage: Bacteria; Pseudomonadati; Pseudomonadota; Alphaproteobacteria; Hyphomicrobiales; Phyllobacteriaceae
Description: bacterial SSU rRNA
Rfam family: Bacterial small subunit ribosomal RNA
Source: RNAcentral